Molecule: ribosomal RNA, 117 nt
Filed under: Chloroflexota bacterium
Lineage: Bacteria; Bacillati; Chloroflexota
Also listed under: 1 other name
Source: RNAcentral
UCUGGUGGUUUUAGCGCAUUGGUCCCACCCGUACCCAUUCCGAACACGGAAGUGAAACGAUGCAGCGCUGACGAUACUUGGAUGGCAACGUUUUGGGAAAAUAAGUCACUGCCAGAU